AGAAUAAAAGUGAUGCUUAAUUGCUUAGCUAAUAGCUAAAGGCGAGGGACCAAAUUGCAGAAAACAAGAAUAAGUGCCGAAGAGAAAAGAUACCUUAUUCUUCUGCUUUAGUGUAAGUUACAAUAGAAUGUUAGCAUACGAGUUUCAUCCAUUUUUUUAUUAUUAUAAAAUUUUAAAAUUACAAUUUAUAACUAUAUCAACAGUUAUCAUUAAAAUUAAUAAACUGAAUAAACUAAUUCAAUUUAAUCUAUCAUAUAUAAUUUAUACAAAUGAAACUCGAACAUAUGAUUUCUAAAUUUGUAAGAUCUCGACCUUAUCAUUAAACCACAUCCUUAUAACUUUUGGGAUCAAGUGCCAAAUAUAUAUAUCUUUGUAUUUAUAGCUCUUGGGACCAAGUACUAAAUUAUGUCUAUAUAUAUAUUUGGGACCAUCUAUAAAAAAUAAAAAAUGGAAUAAAAAUAGUUGCAAAAAGUGUAAAAGAGAAUGUAUAUAUAGCUAAGCUUUAUGUUGACAUGCAAAGUGGCCCAAACCAUAGAAAAAGAGAUAAGAUAAAUCUUUUUUUAGUGGCAUUAAAAUAAUAUGUAUUUGAGGACGACCAAAAGAGAGUAUUUGAUUUAAUAGUAAAAGUAUCCAUUUAAAGAAUUAAAAUUAAGUUAUUUUAUAAAAUGAUUAUUACACCAUAUAUUGAUACUGUGAUUAUAGAGUAUUUUAAUUCUAUAAGUGAAAUUUAACAAAAUAUUUAUUUUUUUGUUUGAAAAAGUUCGAUUGGCAUGGGCAUUGUUGCCAAUACAAGAGAAUGUGAGUUCAAGUGCCAAUACAGGGUUAGGGAAAGACUAUGUAUCAAAAAGAGUAAAUACAUUGAAACCUAAAAUGAGAUUAUUUAACGAGAUGCAAAAUCAUACGAAAAGAAAAAGGAGGGUACAAAAUAACCAUAACGGAUGCCUUGGAUGGACAUCAAGUGGUUGAUAUUAUCCCCUCAAGACAAAAACUUCUUGUUUCAGAGGGUGAAUCUAUCAAACUCGAUCAACCAUUAACAAUUAAUCCUAAUGUGGGUGGAUUUGGUCAGGGGGAUGCACUACGCGUCCAAGGUAUUUUGUUCUUCUUGGCAUCUAUUGUUUUUGCACAAAUCUUUUUGGUUCUUAAAAAGAAACAGUUUGAGAAGGUUCAAGUGUCCAAAAUGAAUUUCUAGAUCUAUGGAUUUAUCAACAUCAAAUUUGUAAAAAAGAACAAAUUCUUGCUGGCAAUUAGGUUAGGUAUAAUGAAAAAAAGGAUGAAAAGUCUUUUGCUUGUUUCUAUUCUUUCUCUAGGAAUUGCUUUUACCACAUUCAAAACAAAAUAUGUAUAUUGUGAAGAAGACUAUUUGUCUUUACCUCUUUUUUUUUUUUUUCCUUUUUUCAAUCUAAAUUGGACUAAGUCGAUACUUCCACAUAUUAUGGGUAACGUAGGAGACAUAUCUAUUUUUUCCUUGGGGAAUCUUUCGAAUUACCACUGCUUAGCUUUAAAUUCGCAUUUGACCAUCAAAUGAAAUGUGAAUAACCCGUCCUCCUCUCUUUGAAACAAGUGAUUUUGGUUCAGUCGAUGCUUGAAACAAUUUUGUCUUCUCCAUAUUACUAUAUCUCUAGAGUCAAUAAUUUUAUAUGAGGAACUAUUGAACUCAAUCACUUGCUACUGUUGCUCUUCAGUCUUCUGUUGAGGUCUAUCUUGUAGAGGUACUCAAAUUGGAUCAGUUAUCUAUUUUUAGGUUUCGUCAUAAACCUAACUGGUUCCUUCCAACGUAAAUCAAUAGUUCAAACCACACUCAAAGGUACGGCAUUUCCCAUUUUUAUAGGAACUUCUGUACCAGAAACAAUGGUAUCUCCAAUUAUAGCCCCUAUGGGAUGUAAAAUUUAUCUCUUCUCACCAUCCCCAUAGUGUAUGAGACAAAUGCAUGCAUUUCGAUUAGGGUCGUAUUCUAUGGUUACAAUUCUACCAUAUAUGUUUUUUUCAUUUCGUCGAAAAUCAAUUUUACGGUAUAGACGCUUAUGACCUCCCCCUCUAUGCCUUACGGUAAUGAUUCCUCUGGUAUUACGACCUUUACCACAAUGACGCUGUCCAUAGAUCAAAUUAUUUCGUGGAUUGGAUUUCACUUGAAUGUUUACGGCUCCAUUGCGUGUGCCCGGGGUAGAAGUUUUGUAUAAAUAUAUCGCCAUGCUAUUAAGUAUUUUGAUUUAAGUUCUUUUCAUUCUAGGAGGUGGAAUAGAAUAAUCCGGUUGAAGCAUAAUGAUUAUACGCUUGUAAUGCAUUGUAUGUCCCAUAAUAGGUCCCAUUCUUCUACCCUUUUUCGGGAGUCGAUGACUAUUCAUAGAUAUUACCUUGACACCAAAGAAGAGUUCGACCUAAUGCUUUAUUUCUGUCCUAGUUGAUCUUGAUUCGACAUUAGAAGUAUAUUGAUUUUUCACCAAUAACCGAAUACUUUUGUCUAUAACUACUACAUAUUUGGUUCUAUCCAUAAAUCUAUUUUAUUCCCUAUGAGUUCGAGUCUCAAUAAGAAUGCUAGUUCUUACUGUUCAUAUGUUAUGAUAUGAAUAUACCACACCAAUUCGUUAUGUAUAGAUGAUGAGAUUCCAUUGAUGCAUAGAUUUUUUCCAGGAAAACCCCAACGAAAAAUACAUACUAUUCCCUCCUUUUUAUCGAAUCGAUCAUAACCACUGCCUAUAUUCCAAAAAAUUGUGCACCACAAAUAGGAACUAAUAAAGAGGCCUGCGAUCCCAUAGAAAGACAUCACGAUUUCUUGAGGAAAAAAAACUAUUUGCUGAGACCGAAAUAAAGAUAUCAAAUUCCUACCAAGAUAACUAGAAGUUCCAAUUAAUAAAAACCCUAAUGAACCAAAAAAAAGGAUAAAGGCCCAGUAGAAAUUGCUUGUUUUUCGAGAUCCCACUAUAAAUUCUAUUCAUAUAGAUUCUGAUCGCCAACUCAUACAUACUAGAUCCAGUUGCAUUUGAUUCAAAUUGAGAGAAUAACCAAAAAAAUUCGACUUUACUUUUUUUUUGUUUUCGAAGUAACUCUCAUCAACUAGGACUAUUUUGAUAUGAACUUUUAGAAGGAAUUCAUCAAAUUUCUUCGAUCUAAAAUCAUCCCCUUUAUAUGAUCGCUUAUACGGAUCUACUAGAUAUAUAUAAUUUAAUUUCAUACGUCCGUUCGGUACCGAUCCACUUGCUAUAAUUCAUUUAACCCUAUACCAUGUUUAUGUAUGUAUAAGAGGGGAUUUUUCAUUUAUGUUCGGUUCGGGUAAGUCGGAUGUUAUACAAUAUUCUACUAAAUAGGUAUCCAUGACAUCUAAAUCUUGAAAAAAAAAGAUAAGAUUUGGUCUUGGCCCCAUCGAAUCUAAAAAAUCUUAGUUUUUUGAACAUACAAAGAUAAAGAAGCCAUUGCAAUUGCCGGAAAUACUAGGCCAUUGCAAUUGAACUGUUAGAUAAUUAUAGUCGAUGAUAACAUCAUUGUUUACAUCGCUAGUCCAAAACCGUACAUGAGAUUUUUACCUCAUAUGGCUCCUCGUGGGUCAUAAAUAAAUUUUAGGACCGAAUCAGUAUUAUUUAUCUUCGUAUGGUUGUGGAAUACAUAGAGAAAAAAAUAGAUUAGAAGGUCCAAAAUUAUACCAACGGAAUUCUGUCUGCUAUAUUUUGAAGAAUAAAAAAUAAGUGCUUCUAAAUUGAUCUCGCCCGUUCAUAAUUUCAAUUUUUAUUUGUUGAGUAAUAACUUAAGCCUUCAAUAAAAUACUUCUUUUAGAAUAUCAAUAGAUAUUUCAACCCAUUAUUUUCUAUUACAAAAAAAAAAAAUGAAACAUUCCAUUAGCUCAUAAAUCAUGGCACGGAUUAGAUCUCUCUAUAUCUAUGAAAGAAAGAAUAAAGAAUAAAGAAAAAGAUUUCUUUUUUAUUCUUUAUUGUUUCUUUUUCAUUCCUAUUCUGCUUUCGGAUCUUUUAAAACCACGAAUGAGGCUUAAACUAAAAAAUAGUGAAGGAUUAUUUCGUUCCUGAUAGUCAUUACUUUAAUAGACAAAUAGGAGGAUACUCUAGACCAGAAUCAUGGAGAGUACUGCCUAGUCAUUUCUACGAAUUUAAAGCCCCAAUUAGUAUUCUUUUUAUGUUAUCCAGAAGUCUCUUUUUAUAUAAUUUACAUAAUCUCCAUUACCAAUCCUUUAUGUAUUUUGGUGUUCCUAACCAUCCACUCGUUUUUUGUUCAAUCCCCCGUUUGUUUAGCAAUACAUGUAUGGGAAUCCAUACAAAGGAUAGUGAAAACUCUAUAUGGUUGAUCUUUUGAUCCCACUUCAAGCUAGAUUGACUAAUAAACCCGUCUUGGGGUAAAGACUUCUUCCGCUUACGUUUUCUUCCACUUAACUCUUGUACAUAGGAAAUGAGAUUCUAUUUUAUUGUUUAAUUUACUGCAAAUUUAUAAGCUGCUUUCUUUCACUCAUAUAUAACUAUCUAAUUUAGUUUAUCAACUCAACUUAUUUUCUAGAACGAAAGGAAUAGGUAAAAUAAAAGUUUCUAAUUCAACAAAUCGCACGUAGAGAUAUUGAUAAAACACAUAGAGUUAAUGGUAUUUCGUAA
This 4586-nucleotide long non-coding RNA is filed under the name Gossypium barbadense (sea-island cotton). RNAcentral's name for it is "long non-coding RNA (GBAR_LNC019283)". The record is from RNAcentral. Lineage: Eukaryota; Viridiplantae; Streptophyta; Magnoliopsida; Malvales; Malvaceae.